This 253-nucleotide ribosomal RNA is filed under the name uncultured bacterium. RNAcentral describes it as "partial 16S ribosomal RNA". It matches the Rfam family "Bacterial small subunit ribosomal RNA", at positions 524 to 776 of the family's 1533-position model. The record is from RNAcentral.
AACGGAGGGUGCAAGCGUUGUUCGGAAUUACUGGGCGUAAAGCGCGUGCAGGUGGUCUUUUAAGUUCCGUGUGAAAUCCCUCGGCUUAACCGAGGAACUGCGCGGAAUACUGGAAGACUUGAAUACGGGAGAAGAGGGCGGAAUUCCCAGUGUAGAGGUGAAAUUCGUAGAUAUUGGGAGGAACACCGGUGGCGAAAGCGGCUCUCGAGACCGAUAUUGACUAUCAUACGCGAGAGCGUGGGUAGCAAACAGG